AAUGCAUGAUAACCCGCGCAUACAUUGUCCAUGAAGUGUUGCUGUAUGUUUGACUCUUGUUUGUUUUUGUUUUGUCUUCUGAAAGCAACAAGGAUUCGUGAAAAAAUUUGGACCGUUGAACUGACUGGACCAGUACUCAAAUCCGGGUCUUCCAUUUUCCAGGUGACUGCUCUAACCUUUGAGCUAUCCAAUCCAGAGUCCUCCGGUCAACUUUCUCACAAAUACCUAUUUUAUUUGGGUUGCUUGAUCUCACAUUAUUUAUUUAAUUUUUUUUUCUUUUUCAUAAAUAAUAUAAGCAGUUGCCAAUUUGUACAUAUUCGUUUCAAAUAUAAUAUAAGUGACAUUUUAUGCGUUAAAUAUAUAAA
This 365-nucleotide long non-coding RNA is filed under the name Polistes fuscatus (common paper wasp). RNAcentral describes it as "uncharacterized LOC122520626". Lineage: Eukaryota; Metazoa; Arthropoda; Insecta; Hymenoptera; Vespidae. The record is from RNAcentral.